RNAcentral lists this transfer RNA (82 nucleotides) under Fidelibacterota bacterium. RNAcentral's name for it is "tRNA-Ser". It matches the Rfam family "tRNA". From Rfam's summary of the family: Transfer RNA (tRNA) molecules are approximately 80 nucleotides in length. Their secondary structure includes four short double-helical elements and three loops (D, anti-codon, and T loops). Further hydrogen bonds mediate the characteristic L-shaped molecular structure. tRNAs have two regions of fundamental functional importance: the anti-codon, which is responsible for specific mRNA codon recognition, and the 3' end, to which the tRNAs corresponding amino acid is attached (by aminoacyl-tRNA synthetases). tRNAs cope with the degeneracy of the genetic code in two manners: having more than one tRNA (with a specific anti-codon) for a particular amino acid; and 'wobble' base-pairing, i.e. permitting non-standard base-pairing at the 3rd anti-codon position. The record is from RNAcentral. Lineage: Bacteria; Pseudomonadati; Fidelibacterota.
GGCACGAUGGCUGAGUGGUUAAAGCGAUGGACUUGAAAUCCAUUGGGAUAUUCCCGCGCAGGUUCGAGUCCUGCUCGUGUCG